Molecule: ribosomal RNA, 702 nt
Filed under: uncultured bacterium
Lineage: Bacteria
Description: bacterial LSU rRNA
Rfam family: Bacterial large subunit ribosomal RNA
Source: RNAcentral
UAGGUUAGUAAAGCGAACCCGGCGAACUGAAACAUCUAAGUAGCCGGAGGAAAGGAUAUCAAACGAUACUCCGUGAGUAGUGGCGAGCGAAAGCGGAUCAGGCCAAUGGUUAAGAUUGUACAACCAGAAUUACCUGGAAAGGUGAACCGUAGAGAGUGAUAGUCUCGUAUGGGUAAUGACAGUUUUAAUCUUCGAGUAAGACGGGACACGUGAAAUCUUGUCUGAAUAUGGGGGGACCACCCUCCAAGCCUAAGUACUCGUGUAUGACCGAUAGUGAACUAGUACCGUGAGGGAAAGGUGAAAAGAACCCCGACGAGGGGAGUGAAAUAGAUCCUGAAAUUGAAUGCUUACAAGCUGUCGAAGCCCGCAAGGGUGACGGCGUACCUUUUGUAUAAUGGGUCAGCGAGUUAGUUUAAAGUGCAAGCUUAAGCCGUAAGGUGUAGGCGUAGCGAAAGCGAGUCUGAAUAGGGCGAUAGUACUUUGGAUUAAACCCGAAACCGAGUGAUCUAGCCAUGAGCAGGUUGAAGAUAAGGUAACACUUAUUGGAGGACCGAACCAGUUGACGUUGAAAAGUCUUUGGAUGACUUGUGGUUAGGGGUGAAAGGCCAAUCAAACUCGGAUAUAGCUGGUUCUCCGCGAAAACUAUUUAGGUAGUGCGUCAUACGAAUUCCAUCGGGGGUAAAGCACUGGAUGGGCAAGGGG